GCUCCUGCCCCCAGCCGCCCCUGUGGGACCCGCGGUCACACCCCACGCUGGAGGCCAGGUGAGCCCCAGACUCUCCAGGCUCCCUCCCCAGCUAGCCCCAUGCCCUCCGCCCGCUCUGCCCAGGGGAGUGAUCUCACGCCCGCGUCUCUCUGCAUCACAGGGUGCCCAGAUGAGCUGCAGAAGGAGCCGCGGGGUGGAUGGGGCUUGUGAGGCAGAAAUAAACUGUCAAGCCUGGUGGGUCCUCCCGUGUGUAAGGAGCAGGGCAGCGGCCACCAGGGGGCAGCUUGGCACUGGGAAAGGGCGUUCCCGGGGCCUGAUGCCCUCCUGGUCCACUCCAGAGGCUGGGCCCUGGCCCCAUCUACCCUCAGAGCUUCACAGGGAAUGGGGUCCCCAGCCUCUUCCGCCAGUUCCAGGAGUCCUGCCUCCCAAGCUGUCGGCAAACCAGACCCCUGCCUCCUCUGUCACCGCAAAAUCACCCCGGACUCAUCCCAGAACUGCGGCCCUGGUCAAAAAGAGCCCGUGAUUCCUUGGGAGCUAGUUGGGCUCCCAGGCUCGCCACGAUCUGCUCUUAUCGCUCGUUCUCCAUUCCCCGUGGGUCCUUCUGCCAGGCGAUGUGGCACCGGGAAAGCAUCUCCCAUCUCCUCACUAAUCCCAAGGGACCCAGCUCCCUCCCGUCAGGCUAACCCAGCCCCCACCCUGAGGGCAGGCCCUGUGCCAGGCCCUGGGCUGAGCAGCGGCCACUGCCCCCCCUGCAGCUCAGAGUCCAGUGGGGGAGAGAGACCUGGAGCCCAGGGUGGGCACGGCUGGGGUGGGGGAACCCAGGGCUGCAGGAGCGCACAGGGACGCCUGACCCAGCCUGGAAAAGCCAGGAAGGCUUCCAGGAGGAGACUCUGAGCCCAGACGGCCAUGGCAAGGGGCUUGAAAUGUAUCACAGACUGAGUUCCAAGCAACAGAAGCCGCCUCUUGGGACAGAAAGGGAACCUAUUGAGAGGAUUCUGGGUCACUCACAGAAACCGGGAGUAAACAGGAGAGCCAGGAUUGGAAAAGGAGCAAGAAGACUGGCAGCCAGCCAGCACCGGCCACCAGCCACAGUCACCCCACAGAACCAGUCUGAUGAGGACACGCUGGUGCCCGAUGAGCACCGGACACUGCAGUCACCCCACUGCCCGAGCCGCCCUAGAAGCAGGACGGGCUGCCCCAUUCAUUAGCUGCGCUCAUCACAAAUCCUCUCCAACUUAGCGGCGCAGGAUGGCAACGGUUGCCUUAGUGCUGAGGGUGCUGGGCGGAUCCAGGGUGGGGCUCGGCUGAGUGGUUCCACCCUGGGAGUGGGUGCCAUCAAAUGCAGCCGUCCAUGGUUCCAGGCUGCCCUGCGCAGAGUGGUUGGAGGCUGGCCAGGGUCUCUGAAGUCUCCACACUUCCAAGAGUGGGCUCUGGACCUGCUGGCGUGGGCCCCCCCAGCACAGCUGCUCCAGGGAGUGCUUGGUGGGUUUCCUGUGAGGAAGGCCGGCCUCCACCUCCAUCCCUCUGCACCCAGGAUUCAACCAACUGUGCAUCCAACACAGACGUGACUUUUGGUACUGGGGAUUGAACCCAGAGGCAUUUUACCACUGAGCCACAUUCCCAGUCUUUUUUCAUUUUGAGACAGGGUCUCAUUAAGUUGCUCAGAGCAUCGCUAAACUGCUGAGCCUGGCUUUGAACUUGCAAUCCUCCUGCCUCCGCCUCCCAAGCCUCUGGGAUGAGAGAUGUGCACCACCACACCUGGCAAGUCUGACCUCUUGAUGGGAGGUCCAGCUCUGUAGGUGACUGUCGCCAGCUGGCCAGGCUGGCGAGAUGAGCUGUAUUCAAAGGAGCUGACUAUAUCAGUAAUUAAGAAAACGGCGAAGAAACCAUGCAGCACAGGAACAUGAGUUUCUAAGGUCAAGGGCGGGACUGUUCAGUGACCCCAAGGGUCAGCUCCUCGCUGGGCAGUGCUAGAAAGAGAGCAUGUACCGGAUUCUUUUUAUUUUAGAGGGGGGACACACACAGCCUUCCAGAUCUGCAAGGAUUCAACCAAACUUGGAUCUAAAAUAUUCAGGGAAAAAAUUGCAUCUAUAGGGAGGUUGGAUGGAAUGUUCUUCACCAAAUAAGGCAGAGAAUGGGGUUUGGAAGGUGGAGUCUUGCUUUGUGAUGUCUUGUGGUCAGCAGAUUGAUUGACAUCUUGGCAAGUCACACCCAUUUCAGGUGCUGUGGGGGAUCACAGGCAGAGGGAGAGGAAAGGCACAUUUGCGUCACGAGCCCAAUCAGUGUGCAAGGCCACAUCAGUCCCCUCAUACUGCUCAAAUGCGCAGAGCUCACACACGCAGCCCAUGGAUGGCUCGAGACAGGUGACCAUGCAAAAAUGACAAAUUGGGUGCAGCCAUCUUUAGGCAGUAGCUCUUCUUUAAACUCUCGCUGUAUAAGUAACUCUUUUUGCUCAACCAAAAAAAAAAUGCAUUCAUAUGACACCAAAUAUCAACAGUUCCAUUUUCCAGAUCCAAGUCUGGAACCAUGGGGGAAGAACCAUUCCCCUCCACACACCAUGACGAGCAUCUUCUGCAAGCUGUGGACUCCUCUGAAAGCUAAUUAGGCUACACCAUAUAUAAAACAAAUGAGAAAAAGAUAAGACUUGUCUAUGAGAAGAGUCAGCCUUCCAGAUCUGCAAGGAUCCAACCAAACUUGGAUCUAAAAUAUUCAGGAAAAAAAUACAUCUAUAUGGAACACGUGCAGACUUUUUGUCAUUAUUUUCUAAACUAUAGAGUAUAUUGAUUAUAUCACACUUACAUUGUAUUAGGCAUUACAAGGCAUUGAGAGAUGAUUUAGAGUAUACGGGGGUGUGUGCAUAGGUUAUAUGCAAAUACAGUGCCAUUAUAUGUAAGGGACUUGAGCAUCCUGGGGAGGGGUCUCCCGGAAACAAUCUCCCAUGGAUAGCCAAGGACUGCUGUAUACAGUCACGUGGCACAUCACCUAAGUAUCUCUCAG
RNAcentral lists this long non-coding RNA (2997 nucleotides) under Marmota monax (woodchuck). Lineage: Eukaryota; Metazoa; Chordata; Mammalia; Rodentia; Sciuridae. The record is from RNAcentral.